CCAGAGAACUUUCCAGAGAUGGAUUGGUGCCUUCGGGAACUCUGAGACAGGUGCUGCAUGGCUGUCGUCAGCUCGUGUUGUGAAAUGUUGGGUUAAGUCCCGCAACGAGCGCAACCCUUAUCCUUUGUUGCCAGCGGUUAGGCCGGGAACUCAAAGGAGACUGCCAGUGAUAAACUGGAGGAAGGUGGGGAUGACGUCAAGUCAUCAUGGCCCUUACGAGUAGGGCUACACACGUGCUACAAUGGCGCAUACAAAGAGAAGCGACCUCGCGAGAGCAAGCGGACCUCAUAAAAGUGCGUCGUAGUCCGGAUUGGAGUCUGCAACUCGACUCCAUGAAGUCGGAAUCGCUAGUAAUCGUGGAUCAGAAUGCCACGGUGAAUACGUUCCCGGGCCUUGUACACACCGCCCGUCACACCAUGGGAGUGGGUUGCAAAAGAAGUAGGUAGCUUAACCUUCGGGAGGGCGCUUACCACUUUGUGAUUCAUGACUGGGGUGAAGUCGUAACAAGGUAGGCGUAGUGCU
This 522-nucleotide ribosomal RNA is filed under the name uncultured bacterium. Its description in RNAcentral is "bacterial SSU rRNA". It matches the Rfam family "Bacterial small subunit ribosomal RNA", at positions 988 to 1509 of the family's 1533-position model. The record is from RNAcentral.